GGACAGGUGGCCGAGUGGUUAAGGCGGUGCACUCAAGCUUAAAAACUUCUCUUAAACCAAGAGUCUCGCACUUCGUAAGAGCAAGGGUUCGAAUCCCUUCCUGUUCA
Molecule: non-coding RNA, 107 nt
Organism: Kwoniella shivajii
Lineage: Eukaryota; Fungi; Basidiomycota; Tremellomycetes; Tremellales; Cryptococcaceae
Source: the annotation of a RefSeq genome assembly